GACGAACGCUGGCGGCGUGCUUAACACAUGCAAGUCGUACGGUAAGGCCCUUUCGGUGGUUCACGAGUGUCGAACGGGUGAGUAACACGUGAGUAACCUGCCCACAACUUUGGGAUAACGCUAGUAAACUGGUGCUAAUACUGGAUAUGUGCUCCUUCUUCAUGGUGGUGGUUGGAAAGCUCCCGCGGUUGUUGAUGUACUCGCUGCCUAUCAGCGUGAUGGAGGGGUUGGUGCGUACCAAGGCGGCGACGGGAAGCCGGCCUGAGUGGGUGACCGGCCACACUGGGACUGGGAUACGGCCCAGACUACUAAGGGAGGCAGAAGGGGGGAAAAUUGGACAAAGGGAGCAAGCGUGAUGCAGCAACGCCGCGGGCGGGAUGACGGCUUUCGGGUUGGAAAACGCUUUCAGCAGGGACGAAGCUUUUUGUGACGGUAACUGAAGAAGAAGCACCGGCUAACUACGUG
Molecule: ribosomal RNA, 465 nt
Filed under: uncultured bacterium
Lineage: Bacteria
Description: partial 16S ribosomal RNA
Rfam family: Bacterial small subunit ribosomal RNA
Source: RNAcentral